Molecule: ribosomal RNA, 605 nt
Filed under: uncultured bacterium
Lineage: Bacteria
Description: bacterial SSU rRNA
Rfam family: Bacterial small subunit ribosomal RNA
Source: RNAcentral
AGUCGAGCGGUAACACGAGGGUGCUUGACCCCGCUGACGAGCGGCGGACGGGUGAGUAAUGCAUAGGAAACUGCCCAGUAGUGGGGGAUAGCCCGGGGAAACCCGGAUUAAUACCGCGUACGCCCUUCGGGGGAAAGCAGGGGGAUCUUCGGACCUUGCGCUAUUGGAUGUGCCUAUGUCGGAUUAGCUAGUUGGUGCGGUAAAGGCCUACCAAGGCGACGAUCCGUAGCUGGUCUGAGAGGAUGAUCAGCCACAUCGGGACUGAGACACGGCCCGAACUCCUACGGGAGGCAGCAGUGGGGAAUAUUGGACAAUGGGGGCAACCCUGAUCCAGCCAUGCCGCGUGUGUGAAGAAGGCUUUCGGGUUGUAAAGCACUUUCAGUGAGGAGGAAAACUCUGCGACUAAUACUCGUAGGGCUUGACGUUACUCACAGAAGAAGCACCGGCUAACUCCGUGCCAGCAGCCGCGGUAAUACGGAGGGUGCAAGCGUUAAUCGGAAUUACUGGGCGUAAAGCGCGCGUAGGUGGUUUGAUAAGCGAGAUGUGAAAGCCCCGGGCUUAACCUGGGAACGGCAUUUCGAACUGUCAGGCUAGAGUAUGGUAGA